Neofelis nebulosa (Clouded leopard) is the source of this 6347-nucleotide long non-coding RNA. RefSeq lists it as uncharacterized. The transcript is spliced from 3 exons. NCBI's taxonomy places the organism in Eukaryota, Metazoa, Chordata, Mammalia, Carnivora, Felidae. The record is from RefSeq and is a predicted model, not a curated record.
GGGGGGGGGGGGGGGCGGGGGGUGGAUGCGAGCCACCUGUCCAGCCCCUGAGAUGGUUAUUCCCGCAUUUGCUGGCAUCCCUCAGAGGCCGCACCGGAUCACCCGGUGGUCAGAGAGACCUUGCCCAGGUUGAGGCGGUGUUUGGUGCCGUGGAUGCUGCCCCGAGGCUCUCAUCAACUCACGCAAUGGCUGUCGGCCCUGGAAGGGUCACAAAGCCCCUGGCCCAUCUUGCCUUAAAUCCUUUCCCCCAACACCCCGUCCCCACCACGCGUGUUUCCUCGUGUGUACAAUGAAGAACAUGGGCACCGGGGCCAGACAGACUGGACUCUCCAGGCUUGUGCCUGCAGCUGGCUGCUGACGGCCUGGAGCGCUCUGCUUCUCCAUGAGGCUAGCAGGUGUUCCCGCAGCCCCUCCUGGGCGCUGGGCACCGUCGUGAGCACCCUGCGGGCACAGGAGCCCGCCACGAGCCUGUGCACGAGCUGUGUCAGCAGCCUCCCCGUCUCGCAGACGAGGAAGCUGAGACAUGCAGAGCUUGAGAAAUCUGCCAGAUGCCCCACAGCUGGGAGGUGACGGGGCCGGGAUUGCACGCAGGGCUGUGCCCUUGGCCACACUGCGCGGCCUCUCCAUUGUCCCUUCGCCUCUGCCGUGACUGAGGACUCUGAUAGUGCCUCUCUCGAGCACCUGUGAGCGUUAGAAAUCAUCUCCUUAACAUACCCGGCAUGCAGUAGGCGCUUAAUAAAUGACAGCUGCUGUUGCCCUCGCCUUUAGGCGACCCCUGCAGCUCUAACUCUCCGUGUAGCCUGGCGACUUGGCCUUGGCCUCCACCAAGGAACUUCCGCCCCUGAGUCCAAGGGAAAAGACGAGGCGGGAAGGGGCUGGGGCCGAGAGGACGCUGAGGCAGGGUCUGGGGCAGGAAUGCCCCAACGCAGUGCAGCUGGGAAGGCCCUCCCGGCGUGGGAGAGGAGGGCGGGCCUGACUGCAGGCCCUUUUGGCUGGGCCGGGGACUGAGCCUGAUGGAGCUGAGCCUCCCCGCAGCCCCUGACCUCCGGGAUUGGCAGAACGCCUACGGGUGGUGCACUGGCAACACGUCCACGUGCCGGAUGGAGCGUCCAGAUGUCAGGGCCGCCGCUCCCUCGGGGCGCCCAGCUAGCCGUCACCGCAGUGGUUCAGACGUGCAUGAUGGUCCCACCUGCCAGGGGGAACACUGAUGUCACCCUCCAGGGACAAAAGGAUUCCACCUCCUAAAUGCUUCAGGAAGGGAAGGGGCAGGUGUUCCCGGAGCCGGGCUGCGGGUGAGGGCCCAGGCAGGCUGGAAAGAAGGUGACAAGCUCCCCACCACCCCCAGAGACCCCCAGAGACCCCAGACCACCGCCUGCCGUUUCCAUCACUUCCAUCAUGACGCCAAGCAGCAGGUAGGACACACACCCUCCAGGAUCCCUCAGAUGCAGAUCACUGAUAUCAAUGGGGUUCUCUUCUGUUCAUAGGUGGGAAACAGAGGCGGCAAGGUCAAGGUGGGCCAGAGCUGAGAACGUUCCCUCCUCUCCCCUCCCCUUGGUUUUACUCUCCUGAAUGCGCUUUUUGAAACACGUUCGCCAUCGUCCCUUCUCAUUCAAGCAAGGUCAUCAGCCAGUUGGGCCACAUGGCUCAGCCCCUCCCCCAGCCUGAGGGAUUAGGGACAGGGACACCAGCCCGAGGGGACACGGUUGGGCAGGGGCUCCCUGAUUCUGUGGGGUCCCCUGCCUUGGCUGGUGGUCCAAAACCCACCGUGCGUGUGUGAGCCCCUGGCCGUGCCUGGAAGGCACACGGGGCCCUCCCGGCAGCCACCUCCAUGCGGGACAUGGCUCUGACUCAGUGAGUCCUGUGUCACUCGUCAGGCUCGGGCCCCUCAGUACACCUGUGUCUGUCUUCAGCCCCCUCCACACGUCCCCUCUGUCAUCCUUCCUGUUCGUCCUUCCCACACGGUCAGGCCAGGACCUGUCUCGUGUCCCCUGACAUCAAGGUGGAUAUCUGUAAACUGUGGUCCCCAUAAUAUGUAGGUCCCCAGCCUUGCAGGAGGUCAGGCAGGGGGCAACCUGGGCUCUGGAGCACCAGAGAGGAGCCCCUGCAAGGUCCUGGACUAGAGAGAGUCCCGGAGGGUGUAAGGACCCUGCAGACCAGCUUCCUUUGCAGAGUUUCUUAGGAACAACCACCCCUCCCCCACAUUCCCUGUUUUUUUUCAAUCACUGAAGAAUUGGACCUAACCUCCCUUCGUCCCCCCAAAAGGUGCUAUCUGACCGCAGUUUCAGAAGAACAUUCCAUCCAGCCCUGGGGAAGGAAUUUAUAAAUAUUACCAUAGGCUUCUCAUACCAAGCCUCUCAUAAAUCAGCGCUCGGGGCUCCUGGACCUCCCAGACUAUAUAAAACCACUCCUGUGUUUCCAAUUUUAAGUCAAACACAGCCCAGCCCUGCUGGCCUCUGUUGAUCCUCACGGAUUCCUGGGGCUGAUCAAAGGUUCCCCCAGCCAGCCAGCUAAAAAACAACUCUCUGGUGCCCGUUGGAGAAUUUAAAAUGAAAACGCAUGUAUGAGGUAGGGACUGCCCCGUGGUGAAUGGAAGCAGUGGGGGAGACGGGGUGUGUUUCUCCCCCAAAAGGCAAAGCACAAAGAGAAGAUUUCUGAGGAAGAUCUGGGCCCCGCCCACCUGCAGACCUCCCACCAUCUGCUUUUCUGGUGGUUGUUUCCCUAACAGCUAGGAGCCUGGACCCACCCAGAGGGGGCAAGGGAGUCGGACCCGGAACCAGAAAGGACCCUCCCUGACCCUCUUGCCAAGUGCUGGGCGCCGGGAGGAAGGGACAGUUGGGGAUGCCCCAUGGGAGUCAGGCUCGGAUAGACCUGGGGAGGGUAACACGGUGUCCACACCCCCAGGAGAAUGUACCUACGGGGACGGUCAGCAACGAGGUUCUUGCACAGUCCCCCAAACACCUUCUCUCGGGUCUUCUGUUGCUUUCUAGUGUGUUCCAAAUUAGCAGGGAGGGGACAGGAGCCAGGCACUUGGUCCAGAAGCAGGGGAAACACCUGAGCUAAAUGUUGGGCGGGUGCAGGCUGGCCACCUCGUGCUGCCCUGCAGGGCUGGAGUAACCGAGCAUCGGCGCCCCCCACCCCCGCCCAAAAACCAGCCCGUGCAAGCCUGCCAGCCACAGGCGGGGCUCGCCCCUCUCAGUCCCCGCUGAACUGUUCUCGUCUACAGGUCACUACAUGCCCCCCAGGCUCCAGUUUGGACGGCUUCCCUGUGAUAGAGGCACGGCUCACUCUGAGGGAGAUGCUUACCCCCCUCCCCCCACCCCGGGACCCUGUGAAAUGCUGCAUGAGCGGCCCUGACUCAUUUACGCCUCAAAACAGGUGGUGUGGCAGCUAUGCUUAUGAGCCCAUUUCAGAGAAGGGAAGACUGAGACCUCGAGCGUUCAAACAACGUCCCCAAAGUCACACAUCUAGUACAUUCGAGUUCGAAGCUGGGUCUGACUGGCUCCAAGCUCCCCCUUCAGCACCGCCACCAAGAAGCUUCUCUGAGCAAGCAGCCUGAGACCGGGGGUAAGCUGGUCUUACGGAAGCUAUGGGAGCUGCAGCAGGGCGGCAGAAGGCAUGGAGCAAGAAAGGCCUCGGAGAGACCACCGCCACUGGGCAGCAUUUGGGCAGCCAGCACCUGGAGGAGAGAAAGACCUGGAACAGUGCUGAGGAACCCAGGAGCCAGGAGCCACGAGAGCCACUGGGUCACAGUUCAGGUGGCCUCAGAGGGGGUGCCGUCAAAAGGUCCUGGGGGCGCCGGGAUGGCUUCGUCGGUUGAGCGUCCGAUUCCUGGUUUCCGCUCAGGUCACGAUCUCACGGUUUCGCGAGUUCGAGCCCCGCAGCGGGCUCUGUGCUGACAGUGCGGAGCCUGCUUGUGAUUCUCUCUCUCCCUCUCUGUCUCUCAAAGAAACGUUUAAGGAAAGAAAAGAAAAAAAGGCCCCACAACCCAGGGCACCUCUUCACCCUCCCACCCCGCUGCUGGCGGUGAACGUGGGUGUGGGCGCUGCUGCUCCUCCUGGGAAGCAGAGGCAGCCACGUCACCAGGACAGAAUAUGCUCCAGCCGCAUCUUUGUGACAGGAGAUGUGCAUCAGUACAGAGCUCUGUGCAGGUGUCUCUCUGGCCACAGCUGGGCCCAGGCCUCUGUCAUCGUACAGAACAGCUGGGCAACGUCUGGGCCCAGGGAGAGCCCUGCCUCCCACCCAAAGUCACAUCGCAGGGUCCAGGUGAUGGGCAAUCAGAAAAGACACAUGUCCUCUAUUACAGGUUGAAUGAUGUCCUCCCCCCCCUCAAAUUCAGACCUCAAAAUGAGACCUUAGUUGGAGACAGGGUCUUUAUGGAGACAAUCGAGUUAAUAUAAGGACGUUAGGGGUGGGUCCCCAAUCCAAUACUGUUGAUGUCCUUACAAGAAGGGGAUAUCUCGAGACAGAGGGACGAAGAUGUGAGCACACGGGGAGAAGACGGUGUCUGCGCGCCCGGGAGAGCAGCCCCAGGAGGAGCCAGGGGCGCCCACACCCGGAUCUCAGGCUUGCGGCCUCCAGAUGUGAGGUGUUUAUGGCCCCCGGGGCCAAGGUGGCUUGUGACAGCAAUGCCAGCAAAUAUGUCCCCAGAGGGAGGCUGGACGUAUUCACAGACCCCUUUCUUCCUCUGAGCCCCAGCACGGCUGCUGGGGGCCCGUCCGGAACUGACUUCCUCCUGGGCUCUGUGGGCAACUCAGCCAGUCGGACGCCCCUGGCUCUGGAGAAGGUGCGGACAGGAAGGAGGGGGGAGGAACAUUCCACACGGUGCAGGGCAAGGCUUUCCAUGCAUUCUGCCGCUGCGUCACAGACUCGGGAGAGGCUGUUGGUGUCGGAAGCCUGGCUCAGCACGUCGGGGGGGUAGUCAGCGUGACGAGGCCCAGGGAGGCCCAGGUGCGGCCUCUCCGUCCCUGUUCACGGACACACACAGGCCCGAGGUGGGGAUAGACACGCCCCCCUGUAGAGCCUUAGAUCCGCUCAUCGUCUCAGGUUAUCUGGCCUAAUCUCCCACCCAGGACCAAAGGCCUCAAAGGGACAGCGUCCCGGAAAGGUGGCAACUUUGUACGUCCUCAGAAUGCGUCCAUCUAGGAGAGCUCAAGGCCAAUUGUCCAGCGGUCGGAGCAGGGGACAGUACGCGUUCCCACAUCUCCGGGUGUCCAUACUUCAGAGUGCUGUGGAUACGAUCGCACCCCCGCCUGCAGCCUCCCCUCAUCUCCAGGGUAAGCAGCACUAACUCCUUCAAGAGCUUCUUUGGAUGACACGUGUUCAGACUCCCUCACCUCUUGACCCAUGUCAGCUUUUCUCAAGCCCUCGUGGUGACGCAUCGCCGGACCCCAGCGGCGUUUGACCGGCGUCUGUGGCGAUGGGGCCACACGUCCCCAUCCUGAACACGGCACUUCUAAGAAUAAAGCUCCGGGUCAAACCACACUCGUGUUCCAACGCUGUGUCCCUCCUUCAGCCGGUGUCAUCGAACGCAUGUGCGCGCGUGUGCUAGGCUUCAGGGGACACAGGUGCAGAUCAGACAGCACACGAUUGCACGAGGGACAGAUGGAGAGGGGGUCUGAGAGCGUAGAGGAGAGGGGGCCUGUAGUGCUGGGCGCGGAGGGGCAGGGCCCUGCGGGGAAGAAGGAAGCCACCCAGCCCCGCCGCGGCCGGCCCUGAAGGCGGCCAGGCAGAUGCGGUGGGUGGGGAGGAGGUGGGCAGGCCUGGGUUUGCUGUUCCCCGGCUGAAGGAACAGCGUGGGAGAAGGCACCACGUGCUUCUGCCUCCUCGUUGUGCAACGACCUUCUAGGCGUCCUCACAAACUCGGCUCCGGUGUCUCAUCCACUGGGAAGGCUGACUUUCCCAUCCCCCACCCUCCUGGUUAGAUCAGCACCUUCUCUCUGUCAUCCAGAGCCCUCGCAGCAGAUCUGUGGCCUCUGCGUGUAUCUGGUGACAUCAGCCUGACCCAUUGGUCUCCCGUGUCCCCGCCGAGUGGCCACCCCUCCGGCUGAAUGCCUGGCACAGAGCCCGGCCAGAGUCGGUGUCCACAGCAAGCGAGCCGCGUGGAUGCGUGGUGGCCGAGUACAGCCCAGUGAGAGGCGUCAGCACCAUCGUAGGAAGGUGGGCAGCGGAAUGAGGUGAUGAAAAGCUCCCUCUGUCAUUCCGGGGGGCAGGGGGUGUCCGGGCUGGAUGCUGCUCGGGUCAGUGCUCUCCUGUCACUACCCCGAAAUCCUGAGUGGCUUCUGAAUUAUUAAGAAUGAGGGGCCCAUGGGGCACCUGGGUGGCUCAGUCAGUAAAGCGUCCGACUUCGG